UGCGUAGGUGGCGUGGUAAGUCAGAUGUGAAAGCCCAGGGCUCAACCCUGGAAUUGCAUCCGAUACUGCUGUGCUAGAGUACUGGAGGGGUGACUAGAAUUCUCGGUGUAGCAGUGAAAUGCGUAGAUAUCGAGAGGAAUACCAAAGGCGUAGGCAGGUCACUGGACAGUUACUGACACUGAGGCACGGAAGGCCAGGGGAGCGAACG
Molecule: ribosomal RNA, 208 nt
Filed under: uncultured bacterium
Lineage: Bacteria
Description: partial 16S ribosomal RNA
Rfam family: Bacterial small subunit ribosomal RNA
Source: RNAcentral